RNAcentral lists this ribosomal RNA (498 nucleotides) under uncultured bacterium. RNAcentral describes it as "bacterial SSU rRNA". It matches the Rfam family "Bacterial small subunit ribosomal RNA", at positions 17 to 507 of the family's 1533-position model. The record is from RNAcentral.
AUCUGGCUCAGAUUGAACGCUGGCGGCAGGCCUAACACAUGCAAGUCGAGCGGUAGAGGAGGUGCUUGCAUCUCUUGAGAGCGGCGGACGGGUGAGUAAUGCCUAGGAAUCUGCCUAGUGGUGGGGGGAUAACGUUCGGAAACGGACGCUAAUACCGCAUACGUCCUACGGGAGAAAGCGGGGGGAUCUUCGGACCUCGCGCCAUUAGAUGAGCCUAGGUCGGAUUAGCUAGUAGGUGAGGUAAUGGCUCACCUAGGCGACGAUCCGUAACUGGUCUGAGAGGAUGAUCAGUCACACUGGAACUGAGACACGGUCCAGACUCCUACGGGAGGCAGCAGUGGGGAAUAUUGGACAAUGGGCGAAAGCCUGAUCCAGCCAUGCCGCGUGUGUGAAGAAGGUCUUCGGAUUGUAAAGCACUUUAAGUUGGGAGGAAGGGUAGUAACCUAAUACGUUGCUACUUUGACGUUACCGACAGAAUAAGCACCGGCUAACUUCGUG